This 1927-nucleotide ribosomal RNA is filed under the name human gut metagenome. RNAcentral describes it as "bacterial LSU rRNA". It matches the Rfam family "Bacterial large subunit ribosomal RNA", at positions 3 to 1973 of the family's 2925-position model. The record is from RNAcentral.
UCAAGUGACUAAGUGCAUGUGGCGGAUGCCUUGGCGAUCACAGGCGAAGAAAGACGCGGCAGCCUGCGAAAAGCUGCGGGGAGCUGGCAAACGAGCUUUGAUCCGCAGAUAUCUGAAUGGGGGAACCCACACCGCAAGGUGUAUCCGUGACUGAAUACAUAGGUUACGGAGGCGAACGAGGAGAACUGAAACAUCUAAGUAUCCUCAGGAAAAGAAAUCAACCGAGAUUCCGGCAGUAGCGGCGAGCGAACCCGGAGGAGCCUAGCUUUUGAUAGUACGAACUUUAGCCGAAAGGUCCUGGAAAGGCCUGCUAUAGUGGGUGAUAGCCCCGUAGGCGAAAGAGUUCGUAUGGUACUAAGGAAGCGAGAAGUAGAGCGGGACACGUGGAAUCCUGUUCGAAGAUGGGGGGACCAUCCUCCAAGGCUAAAUACUCGUGAUCGACCGAUAGUGAACCAGUACCGUGAGGGAAAGGCGAAAAGAACCCCGGGAGGGGAGUGAAAUAGAACCUGAAACCGCAUGCAUACAAACAGUAGGAGCCUCGUCAGAGGUGACUGCGUACCUUUUGCAUAAUGGGUCAGCGACUUACAUUCUGUGGCGAGCUUAACCGAAUAGGGGAGGCGCAGCGAAAGCGAGUUCGAAAUGAGCGUCCAGUCGCAGGGUGUAGACCCGAAACCAGAUGAGCUAUCCAUGGCCAGGUUGAAGGUGUGGUAACACACACUGGAGGACCGAACCGACUAGUGUUGCAAAAUUAGCGGAUGAGCUGUGGAUAGGGGUGAAAGGCCAAACAAAUCUGGAGAUAGCUGGUUCUCCCCGAAAACUAUUGAGGUAGUGCCUCGUGUGUCGCUCCAGGGGGUAGAGCACUGUUUUGGCUAGGGGGACAUGGAGUCUUACCAAACCAAGGCAAACUCCGAAUACCUGGAAGCGUGAGCACGGGAGACAGAGCACCGGGUGCUAACGUCCGGACUCAAAAGGGAAACAACCCAGACCGCCGGCUAAGGUCCCCAAUAACAGCUAAGUGGAAAACGAAGUGGAAAGGCCGUGACAACCAGGAAGUUGGCUUAGAAGCAGCCAUCCUUCAAAGAAAGCGUAAUAGCUCACUGGUCGAGUCCUUCUGCGCGGAAGAUGUAACGGGGCUAAGCUGUUAACCGAAGCCGCGGAUGCACUGGUUAUCCAGUGCGUGGUAGGGGAGCGUUCUGUAAGUCUGCGAAGGCGGUUCGAGAGGACUGCUGGAGAUAUCAGAAGUGCGAAUGCUGACAUGAGUAACGUUAAAGCAGGUGAAAAGCCUGCUCGCCGUAAGCCCAAGGAUUCCUGCUCUACGUUCAUCGGAGCAGGGUGAGUCGGCUCCUAAGGUCAGGCCGAAAGGCGUAGCCGAUGGGAAUCAGGUUAAUAUUCCUGAACCUGCGUCAGAUGCGAUGGGGGGACGGAGCAUGAAAGAUCAUCCGGGUGUUGGAUGUCCCGGUUGACGAGCGUAGGAGGUCUGCAGGCAAAUCCGCAGACGCAUCUCCAAGGCAAAGACACGUGCCGCCACGGCGGCGAAGUGAUCGGAAGUGCUUCCAAGAAAAGCCUCUAAGCACCAGUCUGGCGCGGACCGUACCGCAAACCGACACUGGUGGGCGAGCUGAAUAUGCUCAGGCGCUUGAGAGAACUCGGGAGAAGGAACUCGGCAAAUUGACACCGUAACUUCGGAAGAAGGUGUGCCGUAGUACCGUGAGAGGAGAGACACCUUGAGCGGGAAUCGGUCUCAGAGAAUAGGUGGCUGCGACUGUUUAUUAAAAACACAGCACUCUGCAAAGUCGAAAGACGACGUAUAGGGUGUGAUGCCUGCCCGGUGCUGGAAGAUUAAUUGAUGGGGUGAGAGCCCUUGAUCGAAGUCCCAGUAAACGGCGGCCGUAACUAUAACGGUCCUAAGGUAGCGAAAUUCCUUGUC